UAUAGGUUUUCUCCCAAGGAUGAGAUAGUGUUUUACGUUAUCAGGGUAGAUUAUGUGUUCCUAGUGUAGAUAAGUUGAGGCAAUAAAUUCUUGCAGACGUGCAUGGGGCGUAUUACUCUAUUUAUCUAGGGGGCACUAAGAGGUACUGCGAUUUAUGGGAGAUCUAUUGGUGGAGUAGGAUAAAGAGAGAUAUUGCAGAGUUUUAAGCUAAGUGCUCUACAUGUCAGCAAUUUAAGGUUGAGCACCAGAAACC
Molecule: long non-coding RNA, 253 nt
Filed under: Capsicum annuum
Lineage: Eukaryota; Viridiplantae; Streptophyta; Magnoliopsida; Solanales; Solanaceae
Description: long non-coding RNA (CANN_LNC021742)
Source: RNAcentral